CAAUCGAAUAUUUUUUGAACACGUAAAAAAAAGUUAACGGCGUCAAAAUGACUACCUAAAGCCGGCCUCGAGUUGAAGGAACUUACUCCCCCGGUUCAUUUAAUGAAUGUGGCCAGCGGUUCGAUUUCCUCAUGUCUCAUUCGUAAACAACAGAGGUCCCUCGGGGAUUUUGCUUUCUCGUUCUUUUUUAUCGGGCAUUUCUUUUUGAUUUCUUAUUUGUUCCGUUGGGGACGUCUUUCAUUUUGGUUUCCCACGCGCUCAUUCGAUUUGCUCUUCACAACCGAACAAAGCGCGCGCACAAGCAGAUUGGUUUGGUUGGUUUUGUGAAAUUGAAUUGAAUUGGAAGGAAUUGGACAAAUUGGACAUUGGUUGGACCAACCUAUAUUGGAAAAGACACAAAGCUUCAAUGUCAAUGUUUCGGAUUAGCGAAUCGAACCAUCUUACAUGAACCUACAGUUAAUGUAUACUUCUAACUCUCAAGCUGGAAAAAAGGAUCAGGGAUCACGUACGUACAGCGUUCCCGCGCUAUUUCGCCGGCCACGGCGUAGGUGUGGGCCGCCAUAAUAGCCUAUGCUCGUCCCUCUCCGCUCGUAUUAAUCGAUUGUGGCAUAAGAUUAAAUGUCGAUCAUUAUCGAAAAAAUACUCUGGAUGGUGUAUUACAGCCUUCUAGGGAUACCACAUCCAAGACGUUGCUGCAUAACAGGGUGCAAAAAUUCGGAACCUGGAAAGGGUACUACUACUUUGCAUGCUGUAAAAAAAGCAUGGCAGCCAAUUUUAAAGGACCUUUAUGGAAUGGCUUAUAUAAGCAAUGGGUCCAAAAUUUGUGAAUUGCAUUUUGAAGAAAAGAUGUAUACAAAUAUGACAGCAUCCAAAUGACUGUUAUCAACAGCAGUACCCUGCAUGAAUUUUCCAUCUCCACUUGCCUUCAACACCAUUGAUGUGGAGACGACAGAUAUGGAAAUUGAUGAAUGUUUUAGGCUUUUUAGUCCAUGUUCUUCGAUAUUUGCAUUUAAAGUUAUAAACACUGGAUCACUGAUAAGCGGAAUGGAAUCAUUUCCAAUCCGCUUGAGUGAAACAGGGUUUUAAAACCAUCUACGCCCGUAAUUGUCAAUACGUAGCCUCAUUAUAAGGACGACUGACCUGACUGAUCAUCAAAGCCCAGGCGAAACGAAUGAAUUUAAAUUAGGCUUUUGCGGCGGGCGUAUAAACGGAAAAGGAAACUUUUAAACGCAUCCAUUAAGCACUAUAUUACUUUAAUACUUUAAUUUCAUUAAUGCUAAAUUAAAUUAACCCUUAACUACAGACGUAAAAUUAUACGAACUUUAGUACAGACCACCGAUAAUUUUUACCGGUAAUAUAAAAUACAUAAAAUUUCUGUAAAACAAUUGAAAAA
Molecule: long non-coding RNA, 1393 nt
Organism: Musca domestica (house fly)
Lineage: Eukaryota; Metazoa; Arthropoda; Insecta; Diptera; Muscidae
Exons: 4
Source: RefSeq, a predicted model, not a curated record